This 301-nucleotide ribosomal RNA is filed under the name uncultured bacterium. Its description in RNAcentral is "partial 16S ribosomal RNA". It matches the Rfam family "Bacterial small subunit ribosomal RNA", at positions 509 to 807 of the family's 1533-position model. The record is from RNAcentral.
CAGUCGCCGCGGGAAUACGUAGGUGGCAAGCGUUGUCCGGAAUUAUUGGGCGUAAAGGGCUCGCAGGCGGUUUCUUAAGUCUGAUGUGAAAGCCCCCGGCUCAACCGGGGAGGGUCAUUGGAAACUGGGAAACUUGAGUGCAGAAGAGGAGAGUGGAAUUCCACGUGUAGCGGUGAAAUGCGUAGAGAUGUGGAGGAACACCAGUGGCGAAGGCGACUCUCUGGUCUGUAACUGACGCUGAGGAGCGAAAGCGUGGGGAGCGAACAGGAUUAGAGACCCCUGUAGUCCCUGUCUCUUAUAC